GUGAAACAAGUUCACGUCGUGAGGAAGGUCCGUCCACCACAUUAUGGUUGUCUCUUGAAAGAGAGAUUGCUGUGAAGCAAAGCAACAGAACAGAAACGACACAGCUUUUACUGAACUAUGAACUUGCAGUGAGUUACGACGUAAAAGAUUUGAUGAAACGGCUGCCUCAACCGGUGCAACCCUUUAAGGGGCUUAGUUAAAUGUUAACAAGUUCUGUCUGUCGAAAGGCGGAGAACUACAGAAGAUGGCCUAUGCCUGACUUAC
RNAcentral lists this RNase P RNA (264 nucleotides) under Candidatus Pacearchaeota archaeon. RNAcentral's name for it is "RNase P RNA component". It matches the Rfam family "Archaeal RNase P". From Rfam's summary of the family: Ribonuclease P (RNase P) is a ubiquitous endoribonuclease, found in archaea, bacteria and eukarya as well as chloroplasts and mitochondria. The record is from RNAcentral. Lineage: Archaea; Nanobdellati.